GACACAUGAGGUCUGAGAUGGUAGAGGUGAGACAGGAACAGACACAUGAGGAGGUCUGAGAUGGUAGAGGUGAGACAGGAACAGACACAUGAGGAGGUCUGAGAUGGUAGAGGUGAGACAGGAACAGACACAUGAGGAGGUCUGAGAUGGUAGAGGUGAGACAGGAACAGACACAUGAGGAGGUCUGAGAUGGUAGAGGUGAGACAGGAACAGACACAUGAGGAGGUCUGAGAUGGUAGAGGUGAGACAGGAACAGACACAUGAGGAGGUCUGAGAUGGUAGAGGUGAGACAGGAACAGACACAUGAGGAGGUCUGAGAUGGUAGAGGUGAGACAGGAACAGACACAUGAGGUCUGAGAUGGUAGAGGUGAGACAGGAACAGACACAUGAGGUCUGAGAUGGUAGAGGUGAGACAGGAACAGACACAUGAGGAGGUCUGAGAUGAUAGAGGUGAGACAGGAACAGACACAUGAGGUCUGAGAUGGUAGAGGUGAGACAGGA
Long non-coding RNA from Oncorhynchus keta (chum salmon), 501 nucleotides. RefSeq lists it as uncharacterized. NCBI's taxonomy places the organism in Eukaryota, Metazoa, Chordata, Actinopteri, Salmoniformes, Salmonidae. The transcript is spliced from 3 exons. The record is from RefSeq and is a predicted model, not a curated record.